CGCGGGGUAGAGCAGCUCGGAAGCUCGUCGGGCUCAUAACCCGAAGGUCGCAGGUUCAAAUCCAGCCCCCGCAACCA
This 77-nucleotide transfer RNA is filed under the name Clostridia bacterium. RNAcentral describes it as "tRNA-Met". It matches the Rfam family "tRNA". From Rfam's summary of the family: Transfer RNA (tRNA) molecules are approximately 80 nucleotides in length. Their secondary structure includes four short double-helical elements and three loops (D, anti-codon, and T loops). Lineage: Bacteria; Bacillati; Bacillota; Clostridia. The record is from RNAcentral.